GAUGAAGAACGCAGCGAAAUGCGAUAAGUAAUGUGAAUUGCAGAAUUCAGUGAAUCAUCGAAUCUUUGAACGCACCUUGCACCCUUUGGACUGCUCCAAAGGGUAUGCUCGUUUGAGUGUCAUUGUACUCUCACACUCUCUGAUCCUUUGGAUUUGGGGAGCAGUGGACUUGGGUGCUUGCUGCUUCCUUGUGGCUCACCUGAAAUGCAUCAGUGCAUCUCUCGAUUGGACAUAGUACAGCGUGAUAAGUGUCUUCGCCGGCACCUCAUAUGAGGGUGGCCGAUCGGGAGCUCUGUGCUUUCAAACCGUCUUCGGACAACGCUGACAACUUGACCUCAAAUCGAGUAGGACUACCCGCUGAACUUAAGCAUAUCAAUAAGCGGAGGA
Molecule: unclassified non-coding RNA, 387 nt
Filed under: soil metagenome
Description: partial contains 5.8S ribosomal RNA, internal transcribed spacer 2, and large subunit ribosomal RNA
Rfam family: 5.8S ribosomal RNA (bases 1-122)
Source: RNAcentral